Molecule: ribosomal RNA, 483 nt
Filed under: Salmonella enterica subsp. enterica serovar Typhimurium
Lineage: Bacteria; Pseudomonadati; Pseudomonadota; Gammaproteobacteria; Enterobacterales; Enterobacteriaceae
Description: partial 23S ribosomal RNA
Rfam family: Bacterial large subunit ribosomal RNA (bases 1-366)
Source: RNAcentral
AAUCCAUAGGUUAAUGAGGCGAACCGGGGGAACUGAAACAUCUAAGUACCCCGAGGAAAAGAAAUCAACCGAGAUUCCCCCAGUAGCGGCGAGCGAACGGGGAGGAGCCCAGAGCCUGAAUCAGCAUGUGUGUUAGUGGAAGCGUCUGGAAAGGCGCGCGAUACAGGGUGACAGCCCCGUACACAAAAGCGCAUGUGCUGUGAGCUCGAUGAGUAGGGCGGGACACGUGGUAUCCUGUCUGAAUAUGGGGGGACCAUCCUCCAAGGCUAAAUACUCCUGACUGACCGAUAGUGAACCAGUACCGUGAGGGAAAGGCGAAAAGAACCCCGGCGAGGGGAGUGAAAAAGAACCUGAAACCGUGUACGUACAAGCAGUGGGAGCCCCACCACUAAGCCAGUGGUGAACUCCACAUCCGCAUCCUUUGCUGAGGAUACGGUUAACGGAGCGAAAGCGACGUUCAACCGCAAAACAAGCAGAGGGGGC